RNAcentral lists this ribosomal RNA (253 nucleotides) under uncultured bacterium. RNAcentral describes it as "partial 16S ribosomal RNA". It matches the Rfam family "Bacterial small subunit ribosomal RNA", at positions 524 to 776 of the family's 1533-position model. The record is from RNAcentral.
UACGGAGGGUGCGAGCGUUAAUCGGAAUUACUGGGCGUAAAGGGUCCGCAGGUUGUUUUGUAAGUCAGAUGUGAAAGCCCCGGGCUUAACCUGGGAACUGCGUCUGAAACUACAAGGCUAGAGUAUGGCAGAGGGGGGUGGAAUUCCGCGUGUAGCAGUGAAAUGCGUAGAUAUGUGGAGGAACACCGAUGGCGAAGGCAGCCCCCUGGGUCAAUACUGACGCUGAGGGACGAAAGCAUGGGGAGCAAACAGG